AACGCACAUUGCGCUCGCCAGCAUUCUGGCGAGCAUGCCUGUUCGAGCGUCAUUUCAACCCUCAAGCACCGCUUGGUUUUGGGGCCCCACGGCCGACGUGGGCCCUUAAAGGUAGUGGCGGACCCUCCCGGAGCCUCCUUUGCGUAGUAACUAACGUCUCGCACUGGGAUCCGGAGGGACUCUUGCCGUUAAACCCCCACAUUUUUUCAGGUUGACCUCGGAUCAGGUAGGACUACCCGCUGAACUUAA
RNAcentral lists this unclassified non-coding RNA (249 nucleotides) under uncultured fungus. RNAcentral describes it as "partial contains 5.8S ribosomal RNA, internal transcribed spacer 2, and large subunit ribosomal RNA". Lineage: Eukaryota; Fungi. The record is from RNAcentral.